RNAcentral lists this ribosomal RNA (815 nucleotides) under uncultured bacterium. RNAcentral's name for it is "bacterial SSU rRNA". It matches the Rfam family "Bacterial small subunit ribosomal RNA", at positions 8 to 796 of the family's 1533-position model. The record is from RNAcentral.
AGAGUUUGAUCCUGGCUCAGAACGAACGCUGGCGGCGUGGAUAAGACAUGCAAGUCGAGCGCUGAUUAUAGGGUAGCAAUAUUCUGUAGUUGGAGCGGCGCAAGGGUGCGUAACACGUGGGUAAUCUGCCAUGAAGUUUGGGAUAACUUGCUGAAAGGCGAGCUAAUACCGGAUGUAAAAAUUGGGAGGCAUCUUCUGAUUUUCAAAGCUGGGGACCGUAAGGCCUGGCGCUUCAUGAUGAGCCCGCGGCCUAUCAGCUAGUUGGUAAGGUAACGGCUUACCAAGGCUAAGACGGGUAGCUGGUCUGAGAGGACGACCAGCCACACUGGAACUGAGACACGGUCCAGACACCUACGGGUGGCAGCAGUCGAGAAUUUUUCACAAUGGGCGCAAGCCUGAUGGAGCGACGCCGCGUGGGGGAUGAAUGGCUUCGGCCCGUAAACCCCUGUCAUUUGCGAUCAAACCUUGUUAUUUAAAAGAUGACGAGCUGAUAGUAGCGAAAGAGGAAGGGACGGCUAACUCUGUGCCAGCAGCCGCGGUAAUACAGAGGUCCCAAGCGUUGUUCGGAUUCACUGGGCGUAAAGGGUGCGUAGGUGGCGAGGUAAGUCGGAUGUGAAAUCUCCGAGCUCAACUCGGAAAUGGCAUUGGAAACUACCUUGCUCGAGGGUCGGAGGGGGGACUGGAAUACUUGGUGUAGCAGUGAAAUGCGUAGAUAUCGUGAGGAAGACCAGUGGCGAAGGCGGAUCUCUGGACAGCUCCUGACGCUGAGGCGCGAAGGCUAGGGGAGCAAACGGGAUUAGAUACCCUAGUAGUCC